CCUGUGCAGUAUCAGUAUACUGUACAGAUUCAGCAAUAGAAGGGGAGAGGGAGGCAAUCAACCAGGAAAUCACCAUAUUGUUGCACCUAUCCCACAACCUCUGUUGAGUAACAUUGGUAGUAGGACGGGCAUAGGUGCCAUCAACAAAGCUGAUUUUAUUUUUUGCCGACAAGGCAACAAGAAUUUUUCGUCUCCAACCCCCAUAACCAGUACCCGAGAAUGGGAUGGGAACAAGUGGUACCCCAGGGAGAUUAGACGAAUACAGAAAAAGUGGACUAGAGGAAUCCACAGUAGUAGAAGCACCAGUACUUGUGCUAGAAGCCAUAAUGAACCGGCUUAGACAAAUAACUUGUCAACAAACAGGAUACUACCAGAACAAGUGUACAAACACAGUAACCAACAAUAACCAACAGACAAACAACAAUUAAGUCAUGUAAUCACAGAUACCACCAGAUACUCGCAAUUACAAAGUCAGAUAAGCACACAUAAAUUGAGGAGAAGGACACAGGGUUACCCUCCAUCUUCACAAUCGGAGAAGAUCGGCCUUCAAACACAAAGAAACCCUAGGUUCCAAACCCUAGGUCUAAAUUUUGAAAAACAAAACUUUACCAGAGAGCUGGUGAGGAACGUCGGAAACACACCCAAACCGUCCAGAGAAUGACAAUCGGGCCACCGGAAUGCGGUAAAACCGUAGGUCAAACCGUCAGAAACCCUAGAAGCCGAUAAGUCAUCAAAAUCAACCGUCCAAAAUCAUCACAAAGUCUUUCCGGAGUGUGUAAUAGAGAAAAACACACUCGGAUACACUCAGAAAAGUCUCCGNNN
RNAcentral lists this long non-coding RNA (822 nucleotides) under Nicotiana benthamiana. RNAcentral's name for it is "long non-coding RNA (NBEN_LNC010544)". The record is from RNAcentral. Lineage: Eukaryota; Viridiplantae; Streptophyta; Magnoliopsida; Solanales; Solanaceae.